AGAGUUUGAUUAUGGCUCAGGAUGAACGCUGGCGGCGUGCCUAACACAUGCAAGUCGAGCGAAGCGCUUUACUUCAAUUCUUUCGGGAAGAGGAGUGAAAUGACUGAGCGGCGGACGGGUGAGUAACGCGUGGGUAACCUGCCUCAUACAGGGGGAUAACAGUUAGAAAUGACUGCUAAUACCGCAUAAGCGCACAGGACCGCAUGGUCAAGUGUGAAAAACUCCGGUGGUAUGAGAUGGACCCGCGUCUGAUUAGUUAGUUGGUGGGGUAACGGCCCACCAAGGCGACGAUCAGUAGCCGGCCUGAGAGGGUGAACGGCCACAUUGGGACUGAGACACGGCCCAAACUCCUACGGGAGGCAGCAGUGGGGGAUAUUGCACAAUGGGGGAAACCCUGAUGCAGCGACGCCGCGUGAGCGAUGAAGUAUUUCGGUAUGUAAAGCUCUAUCAGCAGGGAAGAAAAUGACGGUACCUGACUAAGAAGCCCCGGCUAACUACGUGCCAGCAGCCGCGGUAAUACGUAAGGGGCAAGCGUUAUCCAGAUUUACUGGGUGUA
RNAcentral lists this ribosomal RNA (556 nucleotides) under uncultured bacterium. RNAcentral describes it as "bacterial SSU rRNA". It matches the Rfam family "Bacterial small subunit ribosomal RNA", at positions 8 to 562 of the family's 1533-position model. The record is from RNAcentral.